Non-coding RNA from Trematomus bernacchii (emerald rockcod), 580 nucleotides. NCBI's taxonomy places the organism in Eukaryota, Metazoa, Chordata, Actinopteri, Perciformes, Nototheniidae. The record is from the annotation of a RefSeq genome assembly.
ACACAGACCAUCAUCAUCACCUUCAUUCAACAUGCUGUCAUUAGAUAAUUGUUUAAUUUUUUUAUUUUUAGUGUCCGUUCUAAGAGUCAGCUGUGAAGAUCUCACUGCAUCAAAGCCAGAAGAGUUCAGUCCAGAAGGCAGCUCUGUUACUCUGUCCUACAGAUACUCCAAAACUAUAGCAGCUAAUGAUUAUUUCUACUGGUAUCGACAAUAUCCAGGAGAACCACCAGAGUUCAUCUUCUCUCAUUUAGGAACUGGAAACAUUAUGUUGAAUCCAGUUUCUGGACUGUCUGCUGAAGUGAGUGAGGAUAAAACCCAGGUCUAUCUGAGCAUCUCCUCUGCUGCAGUGACAUACUCUGCUGUGUUCUACUGUGCUGUGAGGCCCACAGUGACAGGAAACACCAACACUCUGUACAAAAACCUUUGGAGCAAAGACAACACAGUACUGCACUACAUCCACCAGAGGGAGUCUCUCUCUGUUCACCUUCAGCAGGAUGUGAUGAUACAGUCUAGAUUAGAUUCUCUCAGACUCACAGCUGUGAUGAAGAGCUCCAGAAACUCAUUGGACAUCUGAGUCUCC